ACCUGGCUGGCUCAGUCAGUAGAGCAUGAGACUCUUGAUCUCAGGGUGGUGAGUUCAAGCCCCAAGUUGGGCA
Molecule: transfer RNA, 73 nt
Filed under: Felis catus (domestic cat)
Lineage: Eukaryota; Metazoa; Chordata; Mammalia; Carnivora; Felidae
Also listed under: 4 other names
Rfam family: tRNA
About the family: Transfer RNA (tRNA) molecules are approximately 80 nucleotides in length.
Source: Rfam by way of RNAcentral